ACGGAGAAAAAGAUGUGAUAAAGAAUCAUGAGAGGCCUGGCGAAAGAGAACAUGAGGAGCGUGACCCAAGACAACAACCACGUCCGCGUAAACAAGAGGAGCAAGAAAGAGAGCAUAGGAGAGAAGAGGAGCAUGAUCGUGACCCUUCACGUGGUAGGAGGGAGAGCGAAGAACGCCAAGAAGAAGAGCGUGAACGAAGGAGAGAACCUUGUAGGGAGAGAGAGCAAGAACAACAACCUCAACAUGGAAGGAGAGAGGAGGAAGAAGAAGAGGAAGAGUGGCAACCUAGGAGACUACGACCUCAAAGUAGAAAGGAAGAGAGAGAGCAAGAACAAGGCUCUAGCUCAAGCUCACGUAAGCAAAGUGGUUAUGAGAGGAGACAAUAUCAUGAGAGGAGGGAGCAGAGGGAUGAGAAGGAGAAAGAGCAAGAUUCUCGCUCAGACUCACGCAGACAAAGGAAUCCUUAUCACUUUAGCUCUGAAAGAUUCCAGACUCGUUACAGAAAUAGGAAUGGCCAAAUUCGUGUGCUCGAGAGGUUUGACCAAAGAACCAAUAGACUUGAGAAUCUCCAAAACUACCGUAUUGUGGAGUUCCAAUCAAACCCUAAUACUCUCAUUCUCCCUAAACACUCUGAUGCUGACUACAUCCUCGUUGUACUCAAUGGUAACUAUUUGCAAGGUUUUAAAUAGAGGUCGCUAACCUAAAUUUAAAACCUUAGUUACUACUAGUAGUAAUCAUUUCCACCAAUUAAUUAAUGAGAAUGAAUGAUUUAUUGCAUUCAUUAUUUUGGGAUUGCAGGUAGAGCCACAAUCACAAUAGUGAACCCUGAUAAAAGACAAGCAUAUAACCUUGAGUAUGGAGAUGCUCUCAGACUCCCAGCUGGAACAACUUCUUAUAUCCUUAACCCAGAUGACAACCAGAACCUUAGAGUAGUCAAGCUCGCAAUACCUAUCAACAACCCUAGCAAUUUUUAUGUAAUGUUCUUUCUGAUAUCCUAUCAUAUUAUCUUUUAUUAUUAUAUCAUCUCACUUUCUAUGGCACCCAUUUCAUAUUUUACACCAUUAAAUUUUAAUUUCUUCCUCCUUUCUCUCUAUCUUUGUAUAUGUACAGGAUUUCUAUCCAUCAAGUACUAAAGACCAACAAUCUUACUUCAGCGGCUUCAGCAAGAACACUUUAGAGGCCACCUUCAAUGUAUCAUAUCUUAUCUAUAUUGGUUGCUCAGUUACUUAUUGAGUAUAUAUAAUAAUGAUUACAUGUUUGUUUGUUAUGAUUUCAAAUAUAGACCCGUUAUGAAGAGAUACAAAGGAUUCUGUUAGGAAAUGAGGACGAGCAGGAAGAUGAGGAACAAAGGCGUGGACAAGAGCAGAGCUACCAAGAUGAAGGGGUGAUAGUGAGAGUAUCAAAGGAACAGAUCCAAGAAUUGAGAAAACAUGCUCAAUCUUCAUCA
This 1447-nucleotide long non-coding RNA is filed under the name Lupinus angustifolius (narrow-leaved blue lupine). Its description in RNAcentral is "long non-coding RNA (LANG_LNC000562)". The record is from RNAcentral. Lineage: Eukaryota; Viridiplantae; Streptophyta; Magnoliopsida; Fabales; Fabaceae.